This 497-nucleotide ribosomal RNA is filed under the name uncultured bacterium. RNAcentral describes it as "partial 16S ribosomal RNA". It matches the Rfam family "Bacterial small subunit ribosomal RNA", at positions 28 to 507 of the family's 1533-position model. The record is from RNAcentral.
GAUGAACGCUGGCGGCGUGCCUAAUACAUGCAAGUCGAGCGAACAGACGAGGAGCUUGCUCCUCUGACGUUAGCGGCGGACGGGUGAGUAACACGUGGAUAACCUACCUAUAAGACUGGGAUAACUUCGGGAAACCGGAGCUAAUACCGGAUAACAUGUUGAACCGCAUGGUUCAACAGUGAAAGACGGUCUUGCUGUCACUUAUAGAUGGAUCCGCGCCGCAUUAGCUAGUUGGUAAGGUAACGGCUUACCAAGGCAACGAUGCGUAGCCGACCUGAGAGGGUGAUCGGCCACACUGGAACUGAGACACGGUCCAGACUCCUACGGGAGGCAGCAGUAGGGAAUCUUCCGCAAUGGACGAAAGCCUGACGGAGCAACGCCGCGUGAGUGAUGAAGGUCUUCGGAUCGUAAAACUCUGUUAUUAGGGAAGAACAAAUGUGUAAGUAACUAUGCACGUCUUGACGGUACCUAAUCAGAAAGCCACGGCUAACUACGUG